GCCGGCAGCUAGCUCUCUGCAACUCUCACAUGGUCGCCCACUGAAGCUAAGCAGGGCUGCGCCUGGUCAGUACCUGGAUGGGAGACCAUAUGGGAAAGCUAGGUUGCUGCCGAAA
Molecule: non-coding RNA, 115 nt
Organism: Danio rerio (zebrafish)
Lineage: Eukaryota; Metazoa; Chordata; Actinopteri; Cypriniformes; Danionidae
Source: Rfam